Long non-coding RNA from Bubalus bubalis (water buffalo), 969 nucleotides. RefSeq lists it as uncharacterized. The record is from RefSeq and is a predicted model, not a curated record. NCBI's taxonomy places the organism in Eukaryota, Metazoa, Chordata, Mammalia, Artiodactyla, Bovidae. The transcript has 3 exons.
UGGAACUUGUAAGUUUCAAAUGCACCUUCAGUAAUGGGUCAAUGACAUAAGUCUAGGAACUAACACUGGAAAUUUCUGUGUCUGUGCAGAGCACCCUUUGCCUUCAAAUGAUGAAGGAUGAUGCCUUAUACCCAGGACCGGAGCUGCCUGCCCUGCCCCAUAUGAAGGCCCAUUAUCACCACAAGACAAAGUUCUAAUUUCUUGUCAUGUCUGGGGGCCUGGCGAGUCAAAGCACUAUACCACUGUCUGUUCUCUCUCUCCCUCUAACACCAUGGGAAGGCUUCUGCAUCGCCUCAAUAUGGACCAGGUGCAGUGUGGGAAUUCCAACGAAGGCAAUCAGAUGGGCGCUAUUGGAGCCCGCAAGUUAGGCUUAAGCAUCUUCAGGUGUGUUUUAGGGUAGCGGGGAAGUGGGGGCGGAGAGGAAAAGUAUGCCCUGACAGAGGGGAGUUAAAAGAACAAGCUAAGGGUCAGUGACGGCUCCAAAAACAGCGAAACCCCAACUGAGCCGCUUCCGCGGCAACCCACACUUUCCCCCAGGGCUGCCCACGCUUUCCCUGAGGAAACUCGAUCUCGCGGGAUCUCAGGAGUUCCACGCGGCUGGCAGGGGAAUCCUGGGUAAGAAACACUGGGCGCCGAGGACGCCGGAUUCCGUCAUCGUCUAUGAUGCCUCUGGCUCAUGUCACCUGUCAUCAAAACCCCAGUGCCUGUAGAGUCCUCACUACCCUUCCCCGACUCAGAGUCACAGAACAGCUGUUCUUACCAGAGGGCCUGGCCAGAUUUGCAUUAUGAUGAGACUCUGCUGUGUAUCCUGUUUACAAGGUGCUUAGGGUAGGACUUCUGGAGUUUCUCUAACAAUGAAAUAAGAAACAAAAAGAAAUGGAAAAUGCUCAAAAUUGGACAAAGAAAAUAAUCAGUGUGAAACAUGAAAACAACUGAAGUCGAUUGACUAUAUUAAAAAUUCCAUAUUCU